Molecule: long non-coding RNA, 300 nt
Organism: Acomys russatus (golden spiny mouse)
Lineage: Eukaryota; Metazoa; Chordata; Mammalia; Rodentia; Muridae
Exons: 3
Source: RefSeq, a predicted model, not a curated record
ACAGGUUUAGACGACUCAUUCAAGUUUUGGAGGGCUCCCUCCGGGACAUCUGUUCAGGAUCAUGAGCCAAGCUCUCUUUCCACCUCAGAAACAAUGGUGGCUGCCUCGGUGGGCAGCACUGAGAUUCAGACCCUGCUGCCGUCAACACUUAUUCCUGAAACUGUGCUUGACCAGUUUGUAACUCAAGGUCAGCGUGAAGCCAGAUCAGUGCGACCUCGUGACUCAUCAUUGUCAGCCCCCAGUCACAAGCACCAUGUGUUUGUCACUCCAUCUCUGCUGUCAGCAACCUGUAGCCUUUUA